UAGGUGGUUUGUCGCGUUGUUCGUGAAAACUCACAGCUUAAACUGUGGGCGUGCGGGCGAUACGGGCAGACUUGAGUACUGCAGGGGAGACUGGAAUUCCUGGUGUAGCGGUGGAAUGCGCAGAUAUCAGGAGGAACACCGGUGGCGAAGGCGGGUCUCUGGGCAGUAACUGACGCUGAGGAGCGAAAGCGUGGGGAGCGAACAGGAUUAGAUACCCUGGUAGUCCACGCCGUAAACGGUGGGUACUAGGUGUGGGUUUCCUUCCUUGGGAUCCGUGCCGUAGCUAACGCAUUAAGUACCCCGCCUGGGGAGUACGGCCGCAAGGCUAAAACUCAAAGAAAUUGACGGGGGCCCGCACAAGCGGCGGAGCAUGUGGAUUAAUUCGAUGCAACGCGAAGAACCUUACUUGGGUUUGACAUGCACAGGACGACUGCAGAGAUGUGGUUUCCCUUGUGGCCUGUGUGCAGGUGGUGCAUGGCUGUCGUCAGCUCGUGUCGUGAGAUGUUGGGUUAAGUCCCGCAACGAGCGCAACCCUUGUCCUAUGUUGCCAGCGGGUUAUGCCGGGGACUCGUAGGAGACUGCCGGGGUCAACUCGGAGGAAGGUGGGGAUGACGUCAAGUCAUCAUGCCCCUUAUGUCCAGGGCUUCACACAUGCUACAAUGGCCGGUACAAAGGGCUGCGAUGCCGUGAGGUGGAGCGAAUCCUUGUUAAAGCCGGUCUCAGUUCGGAUCGGGGUCUGCAACUCGACCCCGUGAAGUCGGAGUCGCUAGUAAUCGCAGAUCAGCAACGCUGCGGUGAAUACGUUCCCGGGCCUUGUACAUCACCGCCCGUCACGUCAUGAAAGUCGGUAACACCCGAAGCCGGUGGCCUAGACCCCU
RNAcentral lists this ribosomal RNA (878 nucleotides) under Mycolicibacterium frederiksbergense. RNAcentral describes it as "bacterial SSU rRNA". It matches the Rfam family "Bacterial small subunit ribosomal RNA", at positions 572 to 1444 of the family's 1533-position model. The record is from RNAcentral. Lineage: Bacteria; Bacillati; Actinomycetota; Actinomycetes; Mycobacteriales; Mycobacteriaceae.